RNAcentral lists this long non-coding RNA (1145 nucleotides) under Equus caballus (horse). RNAcentral's name for it is "lncRNA (ENSECAG00000057185.1)". The record is from RNAcentral. Lineage: Eukaryota; Metazoa; Chordata; Mammalia; Perissodactyla; Equidae.
GUCCUUAUAAGACGAGGAAGAGACACCAGGAGAGCAGAAGCACGGAGGAAAGGGCGUGUGAGGACGCAGCUAGAAGGCAGCCAUCUGCCAGCCAGGAGGAAAGGUCUCACCAGAAAUCAACCUGCCAGCACUUUGAUCUUGGACUUCCUGCCUCCAGAACUAGGGUAUCUGACGAUUUCGUUCAAGAAAACAAGCAAACAAAACUCAUUAUUUAUUCAUAUGAAGGAGAUACCACAUCAUCCCAUCUAAAGAGUGGAUCCACAGAUUAGCCCUAAGCUAGCAUCUGCUGCCAAUCCUUCUCUUUUUGCUGAGGAAGACUGGCCCUGAGCUAACAUCCAUGUCCAUCAUCCUCUACUUUAUACGUGGGACGCCUACCACAGCAUGGCUUGCCAAGUGGUGCCAUGUCCACACCUGGGAUCUGAACUGGUGAACCCCAGGCCGCCGAAGCGGAACAUGCAAACUUAACUGCUGCGCCACCGGGCCGGCCCCUGAGCCUCGAUUUUAAUAAUAGCAAUUUCAUAAGGUAGAAUAGCUGUAGGAAGUUUGUUUACUUGUUGUCCAAUUUUGAUUGGGGCCCCAGUGGACGUAGGAAAACCUGUUUUGUUUCUAUAACAUACCCAAAUCAUGGAUUACCCCAAAGUCAUACCAGCUAUCAGGAUAAAAAAGUAACAAUUUGUCCUUCUGACAACGGACGUGCUCUGGUAAAGGCGUGGAGCUCUGCUUGUUGGGCUGAUUUAGUCUGAGUGGGAUUUCUCUUUUCAAGCAGUUCAUAUCAGGUAAUAACAGCAUAACCAGAUUGGAAAUUCCUUUUUUCAGUUUUAUAGUAUGACCCAUCAACAAACAGAAUUAGAUCAAGAUUAGUUAAGGGGGUGCCUCAUAAAUCAGGAUGUGGUGUCACAGAAUGGGACAUUAUUACCUUGAGGUGAUGGGACUGACAUUAUAGGCAGAGGUAGUAACGUAGCAGGAUUAAGAAUAUUGCAACAUGAUAUUAGCUCAGGGCCAGUCUUCCUCAGCAAAAAAAAAAAAAAAAAAAGGAGGAGGAUUGACAGCAGGUGUUAGCUCAGGGCCAAUCUUCCUCAAAAAACAAACAAACAAAACAAAAGAAUGUUGCAAGAUUUAAGAUGUAGAUUAGGUGGUAAAAGCAG